CCCUUAGAUGUCCUGGGCCGCACGCGCGCUACACUGAGUGUCUGAGAUACGAGUCUGCCUGGUCCGGCAAGGUCUAGGUAAUCGCUAAAAGACACAUCAUGCUUGGGAUAGAUUAUUGCAAAUAUUAAUCUUGAACGAGGAAUUCCUAGUAAGCGCAAGUCAACAGCUUGCGUUGAUUACGUCCCUGCCCUUUGUACACACCGCCUGUCGCACAAACCGAUUGAAUGAUUCGGUGAAAAUUUUGGACAUCGAGAGUGGUGAUUAAUUUCGCUGCUCUUAAAUGGAAAGAAUUUAAACCUAAUUAUUUAGAGGAUUGUGAAGUCAUAACA
Molecule: ribosomal RNA, 329 nt
Filed under: uncultured eukaryote
Lineage: Eukaryota
Description: partial 18S ribosomal RNA
Rfam family: Eukaryotic small subunit ribosomal RNA
Source: RNAcentral